This is a non-coding RNA of Misgurnus anguillicaudatus (oriental weatherfish), 922 nucleotides long. The record is from RefSeq and is a predicted model, not a curated record. Lineage: Eukaryota; Metazoa; Chordata; Actinopteri; Cypriniformes; Cobitidae.
AACUUUUUUGUCGCAAAUAACAUUAUUAAUAACCUGUAAAUAAUAUAAUUUGUACACAUUACGUUUCUCUUCACGUUGUAAUAGUAUGUUUUUGGUUUAAUAGUCGGCUUUAAGUUAGUUUGAUCGUCAAAAUCUUGAAAGUUAUCUACAGCCACACAUCCACUGUAUACCAAGUUAUGAUGAUCAAUUAUGAGAAUGCAAAAGGAUUUAUAGAUCAGUAAACAAUCAACAAAAAGAUGGGUGCUCAUGGUGGCCUCCAAAUAAAUACAUGGACAGGCUGCUAAAGAAGGUCAGGAUGAUGGAGAUGCAAGAGCCAAAGACAGCACGGACCAAACACCAGGCCAGAAUUCUGCAUGAGUCAGUUUCCAGCCUUUUUCACAAAGUUGCCGACAACUGGAAGAAUGUCCCAAAUUGCUGAAAAAAGAAAUUCAAUUGAGUAAUUUUCACUCUAGAGACCCUGGGGUGACCACCAAGGACGAAUGAAAACUCCAGUGAGUGUCUCUAAGGUAGAUCCUAAUGCAGAUGGAUGGAAUGUUGAUCCGCCUAACAUGCAAGGUUAAAGAGCAUUUGAUAGCAUAGUGGAUAAACAAAUAGCUUUUUUCAUUUUCACAGCAUUUUCAAAAACAACAUAACACUUGCUAUUACAUUGUUAUAUAUUACAUGACAAUGUCUAACUCUGAUCCAUACAAAACUGAUUUUCUGUACCGAGAACGUUGGAUGACCAUCAAGACAGUAAGUUUUCAAAAAUCUGACCUCAAUUUUAGUAACCAUUUAAGGAUUGUUUUUCUUUUAGUUGAUUUAAAUAAUACCCUAAAGUCCUCCGUUCAUCUUCGGAAACACUGUUUAAGAUAUUUUAGAUGUAGUCCGAGAGCUUGCUGACCCUCCAUUAAAAAUGUAUGUACGAUAUACUGUUCAUGUCCAG